GAUUUCGUGCCCCGUCCGCUUGACGACCGAGCCGCCCGCCCCCCUUUCCUCCUCCCUUCGUCUCGCCCGCGGCCGCCGAACGCGGCGCGGAGGCGGCGGAGGCGGUUACCGGCUCGGCUCUACCGGAGGGCGCGCGCGGUCCCGCCGGAGGUAUGGGCACGCCGGAGUUCCCCAACCUGGGGAAGCACUGCAGCGUCGGCGACUGCAACCAGAUCGACUUCCUCCCCUUCACCUGCGACCGCUGCGACCAUGCCCUCGAGGACAUAAACCAAGCUACGAUUGGACAAAUGUGAGUAUUCCUUCAAUAUAGAAAACACCUAGAAUUGAAUUUUCUAGUUACCCAUAUUUUUUUACUAGUAAUCUUAUUGUACCAUAUGGCGAUAUUUGGAAUAUUUCCAAAACACAUAUCCUUUAUUUUUUGUAAGCCGUUUGUAAGAUCCACAUUUUGUUGCUUCUGUUGAAUAGCAUAACAAUUUUGCCAAGGUUGCAAGCAAAAUAAUGGUGGUGGUGGUGGUGGUGGUGAUGAUGAUGGUGAUGAUGAUGAUAAUAAUAAUUUAUUAUUAUUUGUUCA
Molecule: long non-coding RNA, 571 nt
Organism: Panicum hallii
Lineage: Eukaryota; Viridiplantae; Streptophyta; Magnoliopsida; Poales; Poaceae
Exons: 2
Source: RefSeq, a predicted model, not a curated record